AAAGUUUGAUUCUGGCUUUAUUAUAGUGCUAUCUUUAUUUAUUGCAUGGUAUUUUAUGAUUAUGGUUGUUUUUAUUUUUUUUUGUUUAUUAAUUUGAAAUUUUUAAAUUAAGUUUAAUAACUAUUAGUUUAGAGGCUUACACCAGUGGUUGAUAUUAUAUAAUUAAAGAAAUUUUGAUAUAAUAAUUGAUAAUUAGUUUUUGACUAAUUCAGUGCCAGCAGUCGCGGUUAAACUGGGGAAAAUAUUUAUAAUUGUACAGUUAAAAUAUGGGUAUAAUUUUUUUUUAAAAGUAUAUUGUUAAGUUUUUGGGUAUUAUCAAAAUUUAGUGAAUUUUAUUGAUUUUUGGUUAUAGAUUUGUGAAAUUAUUGUAAAAAACCAGAAAUUCAACUCUGUUAUUUAUAAUUUAAAUUUUUAAGAGCUGGGGGACUAAGAAGUAGAACUUUAAAACUUAAAGAAUUUGGCGGUAUUUUUAAAUCCUUAUAGGGGAACCUGUUUCGUAAUUGAUGAUCCGCGUAGAACCUUACUUUGCUUUAAAAUUAGUAUACCGUCGCUGGUGGAAUGCCUUUAAUUGGAAUGUGAGUUUACUGGCAUUAAUUUUUAAAUUGUGACAACAGAUCAAGGUACAGUCUAUGGUGAAGGCGAGGGUGGGUUACAAUUUUUAAUUUAAAAUGCGAAUUUAUGCUUGAAAUUGUGUUUUGAAGUUGGACUUAUAAGUAAUAUUAGUUAGAAUGAUAAUAUGAAUGGGAACAAAAAUGUGUACAAAUCGCCCGUCGCUCUUGUCGAAAGAUAAGAUAAGUCGUAACAUAGUGAGGGUAGCGGAAGCUGUUCUUGAUAGAG
Molecule: non-coding RNA, 837 nt
Filed under: Viana regina
Lineage: Eukaryota; Metazoa; Mollusca; Gastropoda; Cycloneritida; Helicinidae
Source: RNAcentral